GGGGCAUUAGCUCAGCUGGGAGAGCGCUUCGCUGGCAGUGAAGAGGUCAUCGGUUCGAGCCCGAUAUGCUCCA
Molecule: transfer RNA, 73 nt
Filed under: Candidatus Avamphibacillus intestinigallinarum
Lineage: Bacteria; Bacillati; Bacillota; Bacilli; Caryophanales
Description: tRNA-Ala
Rfam family: tRNA
About the family: Transfer RNA (tRNA) molecules are approximately 80 nucleotides in length.
Source: RNAcentral